CAUCUGCAUCACAGCUAUCGAAUUCCACAUCGGGCAACUUGCUAUGACGAAUGAAAUUGUGCAAGGCAAUGCAAGCUAGAAUGAUCCUCGUUUGUGCUCGAGGCUUGAAACUUGGCAUAGAUUUUAAUAUGCGCCACUUUUGCUUAAGAAUCGCCGAUGAACGCUCAAUGACAUUGCGAAGGGAUGAGUGCAAGAAGUUGAAUAUCUCAUCCCUCCUUUGAAGUGCACGGCCAGGACGAAGACGGAACUCCGGUAGAUGGAUAUAUGCAGACUGCAGAGGGGAUUCACAAAUAUGAUGAUACAAACUCAGAGUCGGCAAAGGAGAUACGAGAAGAAGUCAUUACGAAUGAUUUAAAAAUAUGCAAGAAGUGUUGCAGAAUCAGGAACGAUCAAGUGAAAUAACUGGCAUAUAUGAAGUAGAAGAAACGAAUAGAAUCGAGGGCCUGGAAUAUUCCGUGCUGACAAACUCGAAUUUCUUAUUAUUAGAUAAAUGGUAUUCAUUGCAAUCAACAUGAAGACUGCCAUUUGUUCCUAUCGGUUAUACACUCCAGGAAACGAUGGGUUCAAGACUCGCUAGGCAUGGGAAUGUCCUGCGGGGACCUCUCUUCUACUGUGAGUAAUCAGUCAAUCGAAGCAUGCUGUAAGUUGAGACUCAGGUCUGUGAUGUAGUUUGUUCUCUCAAUUCUGCUAAAUGAAACGACAGUGCACCUGUCAUUCCUGUCAAAAAAAGCAACUGCUUGGACUAUGAUUGUCCUGGAAAUAUCCUACGACUUGCACACCAGAAGUUCAAGAGGAGGUACUUGAGGGUCUUUGCCCACUGGAGGAUCUUCAAAGUAACGGACACCCGUAGCUACCAAAGUCAGAGGUACCCAAAUUGAGGUACCCAAAUUGGAUGAUGGAUGAGCAGAACGGCGGCCAGCAGCUUGAGAGGAAACAUAAUUUUUAUACUACAUCAGAGGCUGCUACAUCGUCUACCAGUAUUGGCGAAAUAAAAUCAGGCGGACGAACCAAUCACACAAAACAUCGAGAUCUUUGCGUCCGUAUUGAGUUGAACCACACGCCUGGAUGUGGUAUUUGAUGGAUGGCACUCUUCUAUUUGACUAGUUCCACGCCUCGGAAAAAUUUGCAACCAAACGGUUGAUAGCCAUAGCAGCUUAUAACAGGUUAUCGUGGUCAUCUUUUGAAUUCUAUCAGUGUACCUACUGAAUAUGCCAACCUUCGUCAGCCAAAAUUCUCUGCUAGUUGAUUUUGAGAUGAUCAGAUGCACACCUUUACCUUCUUUUUAUGGAGUUAUUUAAUAAUUU
Long non-coding RNA from Brachypodium distachyon (stiff brome), 1304 nucleotides. RefSeq lists it as uncharacterized. The record is from RefSeq and is a predicted model, not a curated record. The transcript has 5 exons. NCBI's taxonomy places the organism in Eukaryota, Viridiplantae, Streptophyta, Magnoliopsida, Poales, Poaceae.